AGGUGCGACCGUAAGCCGAGUUCUGUUGUGGUAGUUAUUUAUCUAAGCUUGGUUUUACAAUCAAGCUUUAGCGAAGGGUUGAGUAUAAGACUCCAAACCGUCCCUUCUUGCUGCAAGUUGGGUUUACAUAGCUAUUCGUGUCGCCACAAAUACUGGUGGGCUCUUACCCCGCCGUUUCACCAUCACCGCCAAAGCGGCAGUUUACUUUCUGUUGCACUAUCCCUUAGGUUACCCCAGCCACCCGUUAGGUGGAACUUUGUCUUAUAGCAGCUCGGACUUUCCUCAUGCAUUCAUGCAACUACCCGUCGCACCGAG
Molecule: non-coding RNA, 315 nt
Filed under: Campylobacter iguaniorum
Lineage: Bacteria; Pseudomonadati; Campylobacterota; Epsilonproteobacteria; Campylobacterales; Campylobacteraceae
Source: RNAcentral